RNAcentral lists this ribosomal RNA (442 nucleotides) under uncultured Prevotella sp. RNAcentral describes it as "bacterial SSU rRNA". It matches the Rfam family "Bacterial small subunit ribosomal RNA", at positions 355 to 794 of the family's 1533-position model. Lineage: Bacteria; Pseudomonadati; Bacteroidota; Bacteroidia; Bacteroidales; Prevotellaceae. The record is from RNAcentral.
UGAGGAAUAUUGGACAAUGGAGGCAACUCUGAUCCGGCCAUGCCGCGUGAAGGACUAAGGCCCUAUGGGCUGUAAACUUCUUUAGACGCAGAGCAAUAAGGGCCACGUGUGGUCCGAUGAGAGUAUGCGUAGAAUAAGCAUCGGCUAACUCCGUGCCAGCAGCCGCGGUAAUACGGAAGGUCCGGGCGUUAUCCGGAUUUAUUGGGUUUAAAGGGAGCGUAGGCCGCCUGGUAAGCGUGUUGUGAAAUGUCGUUGCUCAACAACGUCACUGCAGCGCGAACUGCCGGGCUUGAGUGUGCGGAAAGCGGGCGGAAUUUGUGGUGUAGCGGUGAAAUGCUUAGAUAUCACGAAGAACUCCGAUUGCGAAGGCAGCUCGCUGUAGCAUUACUGACGCUGAAGCUCGAAGGUGCGGGUAUCGAACAGGAUUAGAUACCCUGGUAGU